CCUACGGGCGGCAGCAGUGAGGAAUAUUGGUCAAUGGGCGGGAGCCUGAACCAGCCAAGCCGCGUGAGGGAAGAAGGUACAGCGUAUCGUAAACCUCUUUUGUCAGGGAACAAAGGCGGGGACUAGUCCCCGGAUGAGGGUACCUGAAGAAAAAGCAUCGGCUAACUCCGUGCCAGCAGCCGCGGUAAUACGGAGGAUGCGAGCGUUAUCCGGAUUUAUUGGGGUUAAAGGGUGCGCAGGCGGCCUGUUAAGUCAGCGGGAAAAGCCCGGGGCUCAACCCCGGCGAGCCGUUGAAACUGGCGGGCUGGAGUUGGAGAGAAGUACGCGGAAUGCGCGGUGUAGCGGUGAAAUGCUUAGAUAUCGCGCAGAACCCCGAUUGCGAAGGCAGCGUACCGGCUCCACACUGACGCUGAGGCACGAAAGCGUGGGUAUCGAACAGGAUUAGAUACCCGAGUAGUC
Molecule: ribosomal RNA, 459 nt
Filed under: uncultured bacterium
Lineage: Bacteria
Description: partial 16S ribosomal RNA
Rfam family: Bacterial small subunit ribosomal RNA
Source: RNAcentral